Molecule: long non-coding RNA, 700 nt
Organism: Athalia rosae (coleseed sawfly)
Lineage: Eukaryota; Metazoa; Arthropoda; Insecta; Hymenoptera; Athaliidae
Exons: 3
Source: RefSeq, a predicted model, not a curated record
CACCGGCGAACCAAAAGUUUCACCGGCUCUUCCUGUAAAAAUCCGAAACACAGCGAAAGAUCGAAAAAAAACGAAACGAUUCAAAAGUUACAACUUGUGGGAUGUGAAGAAUAUACAGUGACCGAUGGGAUACGGUUUUGAAAACUCCUGUUCAGUACAUCGCCGCAUACAUAGGAUUGGGUGACAACAAAUAAAAUUAACGAAUUACCACGCGCAUUACAUAUUCAGCAGACAUCGCUAUAAGGUCAAGACAGUGAGACCUACGAACCUUGACUUCCGCUUUUCAUUGUAACGUCCAAUUACUGUGUUACAUGCGUAAAUCGCCGGUUCACGUUUUGACCAUAGGCGAUCUACAAAUUUGAAAACCAAUCGUGACGGGAGUUCCGAGAGGAUAAAGAAUUUUCUUGCGCCUGUUGGGAAAAUCGAUGCUCGCGUCCUUAGUUUGUCUCUCUACUCGAUAUUACUUUUUGUUUUUUCUUCGUUUUUUAUUAGUAAACAUUCUUAGAGUAAUGUAUAUAAUGUAAUUACAGAAAUGUAGAUAAUAUACUUAUACGUAUGCAAGAAUUCUGUACAAAAAUUUAUGUAUAAUUUGUUUUAUUGCAACAUCAUUUUUGAAUUCGACGAGUAUACGUUGUUUGCUCGUCUUUCAAAGUCAUCGCGUACGAACUAUCAAUGAAAAUCAUGCAUCGUAAGUUUUUCA